UAGGGAAUCUUCGGCAAUGGACGAAAGUCUGACCGAGCAACGCCGCGUGAGUGAAGAAGGUUUUCGGAUCGUAAAACUCUGUUGUUAGAGAAGAACAAGGACGUUAGUAACUGAACGUCCCCUGACGGUAUCUAACCAGAAAGCCACGGCUAACUACGUGCCAGCAGCCGCGGUAAUACGUAGGUGGCAAGCGUUGUCCGGAUUUAUUGGGCGUAAAGCGAGCACAGGCGGUUUCUUAAGUCUGAUGUGAAAGCCCCCGGCUCAACCGGGGAGGGUCAUUGGAAACUGGGAGACUUGGGUGCAGAAGAGGAGAGUGGAAUUCCAUGUGUAGCGGUGAAAUGCGUAGAUAUAUGGAGGAACACCAGUGGCGAAGGCGGCUCUCUGGUCUGUAACUGACGCUGAGGCUCGAAAGCGUGGGGAGCAAACAGG
Molecule: ribosomal RNA, 429 nt
Filed under: Gemmatimonadota bacterium
Lineage: Bacteria; Pseudomonadati; Gemmatimonadota
Description: Gemmatimonadetes bacterium partial 16S ribosomal RNA
Rfam family: Bacterial small subunit ribosomal RNA
Source: RNAcentral